UACGUAGGGGGCAAGCGUUGUCCGGAUUUAUUGGGCGUAAAGAGCGUGUAGGCGGUUUGGUAGGUCCGUUGUGAAAACUCGAGGCUCAACCUCGAGACGCCGAUGGAAACCAUCAGACUAGAGUCCGGAAGAGGAGAGUGGAAUUCCUGGUGUAGCGGUGAAAUGCGCAGAUAUCAGGAGGAACACCGAUGGCGAAGGCAGUGGGCUGGGCCGGCACUGACGCUGAGGAGCGAAAGCGUGGGGAGCGAACAGG
Molecule: ribosomal RNA, 253 nt
Filed under: uncultured bacterium
Lineage: Bacteria
Description: partial 16S ribosomal RNA
Rfam family: Bacterial small subunit ribosomal RNA
Source: RNAcentral